AACGCACGAGACCUGCGGACCUGCGGAGGGAUCAUUAACGAAUAACUAUGGUGUUGGUUGUAGCUGGCUCCUCGGAGCAAUGUGCACGCCCGCCAUUUUUAUCUUUCCACCUGUGCACCGACUGUAGGUCUGGAUACCUCUCGCCUCCGGGCGGAUGCGAGGGUUGCUCGAAAGGGCUUCCCUUGAACUUCCAGGCUCUACGUCUUUUUACACACCCCAAUAGUAUGAUGCAGAAUGUAG
This 240-nucleotide unclassified non-coding RNA is filed under the name soil metagenome. Its description in RNAcentral is "partial contains 5.8S ribosomal RNA, internal transcribed spacer 2, and large subunit ribosomal RNA". The record is from RNAcentral.